UGGGGAAUUUUGGACAAUGGGGGCAACCGUGAUCCAGCAAUGCCGCGUGUGUGAAGAAGGCCUUCGGGUUGUAAAGCACUUUUGUCCGGAAAGAAAACGCCGUGGUUAAUACCCGUGGCGGAUGACGGUACCGGAAGAAUAAGCACCGGCUAACUACGUGCCAGCAGCCGUGGUAAUACGUAGGGUGCAAGCGUUAAUCGGAAUUACUGGGCGUAAAGCGUGCGCAGGCGGUCCGCUAAGACAGAUGUGAAAUCCCCGGGCUUAACCUGGGAACUGCAUUUGUGACUGGCGGGCUAGAGUAUGGCAGAGGGGGGUAGAAUUCCACGUGUAGCAGUGAAAUGCGUAGAGAUGUGGAGGAAUACCGAUGGCGAAGGCAGCCCCCUGGGCCAAUACUGACGCUCAUGCACGAAAGCGUGGGGGAGCAAACAGGAUUAGAUACCCUGGUAGUCCACGCCCUAAACGAUGUCAACUAGUUGUCGGGUCUUCAUUGACUUGGUAACGUAGCUAACGCGUGAAGUUGACCGCCUGGGAGUACGGUCGC
Molecule: ribosomal RNA, 541 nt
Filed under: uncultured bacterium
Lineage: Bacteria
Description: partial 16S ribosomal RNA
Rfam family: Bacterial small subunit ribosomal RNA
Source: RNAcentral